Molecule: ribosomal RNA, 253 nt
Filed under: uncultured prokaryote
Description: partial 16S ribosomal RNA
Rfam family: Bacterial small subunit ribosomal RNA
Source: RNAcentral
GACAGGGGAUGCAAGCGUUAUCCGGAAUGAUUGGGCGUAAAGCGUCUGUAGGUGGCUUUUUAAGUCUGCCGUCAAAUCCCAGGGCUCAACCCUGGACAGGCGGUGGAAACUACCAAGCUGGAGUACGGUAGGGGCAGAGGGAAUUUCCAGUGGAGCGGUGAAAUGCGUAGAUAUUGGAAAGAACACCAACAGCGAAGGCACCUUACUGGGCCAGUACUGACACUCAGAGACGAAAGCUAGGGGAGCAAACGGG